This 78-nucleotide transfer RNA is filed under the name Clavelina oblonga. RNAcentral's name for it is "transfer RNA-His". The record is from RNAcentral. Lineage: Eukaryota; Metazoa; Chordata; Ascidiacea; Aplousobranchia; Clavelinidae.
UUUAAAGUAGUUUAAUUAGAAUUUAAAAAAUAUAGAUUUGUGGUAUCUAAGAUGUAAUUUUUAAAGAUACCUUUAAAC